UAGGGAAUCUUCGGCAAUGGGGGGAACCCUGACCGAGCAACGCCGCGUGAGUGAAGAAGGUUUUCGGAUCGUAAAGCUCUGUUGUUAAGGAAGAACGAGUGUGAGAAUGGAAAGUUCAUGCUGUGACGGUACUUAACCAGAAAGGGACGGCUAACUACGUGCCAGCAGCCGCGGUAAUACGUAGGUCCCGAGCGUUGUCCGGAUUUAUUGGGCGUAAAGCGAGCGCAGGCGGUUAGAAAAGUCUGAAGUGAAAGGCAGUGGCUCAACCAUUGUAGGCUUUGGUAACUGUUUAACUUGAGUGCAGAAGGGGAGAGUGGAAUUCCAUGUGUAGCGGUGAAAUGCGUAGAUAUAUGGAGGAACACCGGUGGCGAAAGCGGCUCUCUGGUCUGUAACUGACGCUGAGGCUCGAAAGCGUGGGGAGCGAACAGG
RNAcentral lists this ribosomal RNA (429 nucleotides) under Bacteroidota bacterium. RNAcentral describes it as "Bacteroidetes bacterium partial 16S ribosomal RNA". It matches the Rfam family "Bacterial small subunit ribosomal RNA", at positions 355 to 776 of the family's 1533-position model. The record is from RNAcentral. Lineage: Bacteria; Pseudomonadati; Bacteroidota. RNAcentral also lists the same sequence under 1 other name.